Suricata suricatta (meerkat) is the source of this 341-nucleotide long non-coding RNA. RefSeq lists it as uncharacterized. Lineage: Eukaryota; Metazoa; Chordata; Mammalia; Carnivora; Herpestidae. The transcript is spliced from 3 exons. The record is from RefSeq and is a predicted model, not a curated record.
UGCCUUCCCUUCACGCUGAGAAGUGGGAGCAAAGGACCGGCUUUGCUGAGUCUGAGGAGCAGCGUGGACUCCUGGGCGCAGAUGAGCGAUGACGCCGUGGAAGGCGGCGUGGAGCCCUGCAAUGCAACAGGCUUGACUACAACAAUGCUGUCAGAGUGCAUCCCUCACGUUAGUCAAGAUUUAUUAGCAUCGACACCGAUAGAAAUUUGGAGGCAGAGAGCAUGCAGGUGACAGAAAUAUUUGAAAAGAGAAAGCAGAUUAUCCAGUCAGUUGGCAAUGUCAAGUCUACAGCUGUCAGCCCUUAGUAACAAAAGUUGUAAAAUAAAAUCAGUUAAGACACA